GAAAUUUGAAGUGAGGAUCUAGGUUGAAGUUCGGUGUUGAUAAGGAUGUCACAGGCUGGGAUGAGCAAGAAAAAAGUGGAAAGUAUAAAGCAAAUCGGUAUUAUAUUCAGUGUCACCUGAGAUCGAUGUGUUGUGAAAGAGGCUUUGCAUCCUGGUUAAGGAUUCUUGAUCGUUGUUCAGUGUUAGUGUGUCUGGUGGUUUAGAUGUGCGGACCCGUUAUCUAUUUCGGAAGGUUAUGGGAGCGUGACCCAUGGAAGGAUUGUAUAAGUGUAGCAUGUAGUCACUUGAUUGACUAAAGAUUUAAACCAAGUAUGAGGAUUGUGGUAAUAUUAUUAAUUUGAGAAUUUAGCCCUAGAGGGCACCUUGUUUAUUGGGUUAUGAACAGAGAAGGUUGCUCCGGUUAUGAUGGUUGUCCUUAUGUGUUAUGAGGAAGAAUGAGGUACUAUGGACCUUUGAAAGGUUAUUAUCCAAAUUGCUGCAAUGAGAAAUUAGCUUGAGAUCAAUGGAUUGAUUUACAUGUGAACAAGGCUUAUAUCAGGCCAGUGUGUUCAUUUCAGCGAGCAUUCCUUAUGAAGGAAUGAUGUAUUGCGCCGUACAAGUUGUGAG
Molecule: long non-coding RNA, 606 nt
Filed under: Nicotiana benthamiana
Lineage: Eukaryota; Viridiplantae; Streptophyta; Magnoliopsida; Solanales; Solanaceae
Description: long non-coding RNA (NBEN_LNC034373)
Source: RNAcentral